UCGAGAAUUUUUCUCAAUGGGCGCAAGCCUGAAGGAGCGACGCCGCGUGGAGGAUGAAGGCCUUCGGGUUGUAAACUCCUGUCAUUUGGGAACAAAAUUUCCGCUUAACUGGCGGGGACUUGAUAGUACCAGAAGAGGAAGAGACGGCUAACUCUGUGCCAGCAGCCGCGGUAAUACAGAGGUCUCAACCGUUGUUCGGAUUCAUUGGGCGUAAAGGGUGCGUAGGCGGUCGCGCAAGUCGGAUGUGAAAUCUUAGGGCUCAACCCUGAAACUGCAUUCGAUACUGCGUGGCUAGAGUACUGGAGAGGAGACUGGAAUUUACGGUGUAGCAGUGAAAUGCGUAGAUAUCGUAAGGAAGACCAGUGGCGAAGGCGAGUCUCUGGACAGUUACUGACGCUGAGGCACGAAGGCCAGGGGAGCAAA
This 423-nucleotide ribosomal RNA is filed under the name uncultured bacterium. RNAcentral's name for it is "bacterial SSU rRNA". It matches the Rfam family "Bacterial small subunit ribosomal RNA", at positions 355 to 772 of the family's 1533-position model. The record is from RNAcentral.